GGGCCCGUAGCUCAGCCUGGUUAGAGCGCCGUUUUUAGAAGCCGGAGGUCGUGAGAGGAAUUUAUUCCCGCGAAUUCAAAUCUCAUCGGGCCCA
This 94-nucleotide transfer RNA is filed under the name Candidatus Woesearchaeota archaeon. Its description in RNAcentral is "tRNA-Leu". It matches the Rfam family "tRNA". Rfam says of the family: Transfer RNA (tRNA) molecules are approximately 80 nucleotides in length. Lineage: Archaea; Nanobdellati; Candidatus Woesearchaeota. The record is from RNAcentral.